AACCAGACUCCUACGGGAGGCAGCAGUGGGGGAUAUUGCACAAUGGGGGGAACCCUGAUGCAGCGACGCCGCGUGGGUGAAGAAGCGCCUCGGCGCGUAAAGCCCUGUCAGCAGGGAAGAAAAUGACGGUACCUGAAGAAGAAGCCCCGGCUAACUACGUGCCAGCAGCCGCGGUAAUACGUAGGGGGCAAGCGUUAUCCGGAUUUACUGGGUGUAAAGGGGGCGCAGACGGUGAUGCAAGCCAGGAGUGAAAGCCCGGGGCCCAACCCCGGGACUGCAUUUGGAACUGUGUGGCUGGAGUGUCGGAGAGGCAGGCGGAAUUCCUAGUGUAGCGGUGAAAUGCGUAGAUAUUAGGAGGAACACCAGUGGCGAAGGCGGCCUGCUGGACGAUGACUGACGUUGAGGCUCGAAAGCGUGGGGAGCAAACAGGAUUAGAUACCCGCGUAA
RNAcentral lists this ribosomal RNA (447 nucleotides) under uncultured bacterium. RNAcentral's name for it is "bacterial SSU rRNA". It matches the Rfam family "Bacterial small subunit ribosomal RNA", at positions 329 to 793 of the family's 1533-position model. The record is from RNAcentral.